AUUUGGUAGAUGGAAACUGAAAAAAGCCUGUCAUAUAUAUACACACACAAACAUCAAAGUAAGCAUAUAAAUGCAAAACAAGGUGGGGAAAAAACAGUACUCGAAUACUAAAAGUAGAGUAA
Molecule: long non-coding RNA, 122 nt
Organism: Octopus sinensis (East Asian common octopus)
Lineage: Eukaryota; Metazoa; Mollusca; Cephalopoda; Octopoda; Octopodidae
Exons: 3
Source: RefSeq, a predicted model, not a curated record